This 1413-nucleotide ribosomal RNA is filed under the name Cylindrospermopsis raciborskii CHAB362. Its description in RNAcentral is "bacterial SSU rRNA". It matches the Rfam family "Bacterial small subunit ribosomal RNA". Lineage: Bacteria; Bacillati; Cyanobacteriota; Cyanophyceae; Nostocales; Aphanizomenonaceae. The record is from RNAcentral.
UUGAUCCUGGCUCAGGAUGAACGCUGGCGGUAUGCUUAACACAUGCAAGUCGAACGGGAUGCUUAGGCAUCUAGUGGCGGACGGGUGAGUAACGCGUGAGAAUCUGGCUCCAGGUCGGGGAUAACAGUUGGAAACGACUGCUAAUACCGGAUGUGCCGAGAGGUGAAAGAUUUAUUGCCUGGAGAUGAGCUCGCGUCUGAUUAGCUAGUUGGUGGUGUAAGGGACCACCAAGGCGUCGAUCAGUAGCUGGUCUGAGAGGAUGAUCAGCCACACUGGGACUGAGACACGGCCCAGACUCCUACGGGAGGCAGCAGUGGGGAAUUUUCCGCAAUGGGCGAAAGCCUGACGGAGCAAUACCGCGUGAGGGAGGAAGGCUCUUGGGUCGUAAACCUCUUUUCUCAAGGAAGAAGAAAGUGACGGUACUUGAGGAAUAAGCAUCGGCUAACUCCGUGCCAGCAGCCGCGGUAAUACGGAGGAUGCAAGCGUUAUCCGGAAUGAUUGGGCGUAAAGGGUCUGCAGGUGGAACUGAAAGUCUGCUGUUAAAGAGUUUGGCUUAACCAAAUAAAAGCGGUGGAAACUACAGAACUAGAGUGCGGUAGGGGCAAAAGGAAUUCCUGGUGUAGCGGUGAAAUGCGUAGAUAUCAGGAAGAACACCGGUGGCGAAAGCGUUUUGCUAGACCGUAACUGACACUGAGGGACGAAAGCUAGGGGAGCGAAUGGGAUUAGAUACCCCAGUAGUCCUAGCCGUAAACGAUGGAUACUAGGCGUGGCUUGUAUCGACCCGAGCCGUGCCGGAGCUAACGCGUUAAGUAUCCCGCCUGGGGAGUACGCACGCAAGUGUGAAACUCAAAGGAAUUGACGGGGGCCCGCACAAGCGGUGGAGUAUGUGGUUUAAUUCGAUGCAACGCGAAGAACCUUACCAAGACUUGACAUCCUGCGAAUCCUGGUGAAAGCUGGGAGUGCCUUAGGGAGCGCAGAGACAGGUGGUGCAUGGCUGUCGUCAGCUCGUGUCGUGAGAUGUUGGGUUAAGUCCCGCAACGAGCGCAACCCUCGUUUUUAGUUGCCAGCAUUAAGUUGGGCACUCUAGAGAGACUGCCGGUGACAAACCGGAGGAAGGUGAGGAUGACGUCAAGUCAGCAUGCCCCUUACGUCUUGGGCUACACACGUACUACAAUGCUACGGACAGAGGGCAGCGAGCCAGGGAUGGCAAGCGAAUCCAGAAACCGUAGCUCAGUUCAGAUCGAAGGCUGCAACUCGCCUUCGUGAAGGAGGAAUCGCUAGUAAUUGCAGGUCAGCAUACUGCAGUGAAUUCGUUCCCGGGCCUUGUACACACCGCCCGUCACACCAUGGAAGUUGGUCACGCCCGAAGUCAUUACCCCAACCGAAAGGAGGGGGAUGCCUAAGGUAGGACUA